Molecule: transfer RNA, 71 nt
Filed under: Anaerolineaceae bacterium
Lineage: Bacteria; Bacillati; Chloroflexota; Anaerolineae; Anaerolineales; Anaerolineaceae
Description: tRNA-Gln
Rfam family: tRNA
About the family: Transfer RNA (tRNA) molecules are approximately 80 nucleotides in length.
Source: RNAcentral
UGCGGCGUCGUCUAAUGGUAGGACAGCGGACUCUGAAUUCGUAUGUGGUGGUUCGACUCCAUCCGCCGCAG